GCGGAUGUGUCGUAAUUGGUAGCCGAGCCAGACUUAGGAUCUGGUGCGCAAGCGUGGGGGUUCGAGUCCCUUCAUCCGCA
RNAcentral lists this transfer RNA (80 nucleotides) under Bacteroidota bacterium. Its description in RNAcentral is "Bacteroidetes bacterium (activated sludge metagenome) tRNA-Leu". It matches the Rfam family "tRNA". Rfam says of the family: Transfer RNA (tRNA) molecules are approximately 80 nucleotides in length. The record is from RNAcentral. Lineage: Bacteria; Pseudomonadati; Bacteroidota. RNAcentral also lists the same sequence under 1 other name.